CUUGGUCAUUUAGAGGAAGUAAAAGUCGUAACAAGGUCUCCGUUGGUGAACCAGCGGAGGGAUCAUUACCGAGUUUUCAACUCCCAAACCCCUGUGAACAUACCAUGUUGCUUCGGCGGAUCACCCCAAGCCCCUCGGGGCGCGGGGCCCGCCAGAGGACCCAAAACUCAACUGUAUUUUUUGUAUCAAAACGUAUUCUGAGUGGAAUUUUAAAUAAAUCAAAACUUUCAACAACGGAUCUCUUGGCUCUGGCAUCGAUGAAGAACGCAGCGAAAUGCGAUAAGUAAUGUGAAUUGCAGAAUUCAGUGAACCAUCGAAUCUUUGAACGCACAUUGCGCCCGCCAGUACUCUGGCGGGCAUGCCUGUUCGAGCGUCAUUACAACCCUCAAGCCCCCGGGCUUGGCGUUGGGGAUCGGCACAAGGCGGAGGGGCACCCCUAGGGAGCCCCCUCGGCCCGCCGUCCCCCAAAUUCAGUGGCGGUCACGUCGCGGCCUCCUAUGCGUAGUAGCAACACCUCGCACUGGAAGUCCCUCGCGUCCACGCCGUAAAACCCCCGACUUUUUAUCAAGUUGACCUCGAAUCAGGUAGGACUACCCGCUGAACUUAAGCAUAUCAAUAAGCGGAGGA
Molecule: ribosomal RNA, 627 nt
Filed under: uncultured Ascomycota
Lineage: Eukaryota; Fungi; Ascomycota
Description: eukaryotic LSU rRNA
Rfam family: 5.8S ribosomal RNA (bases 223-376)
Source: RNAcentral